CAAGGAAUUUUCGUCAAUGGGCGCAAGCCUGAACGAGCAACGCCGCGUGGUGGAUGACGGCCUUCGGGUUGUAAACACCUUUUGCGGGGGACGAUGAUGACGGUACCCCGCGAACAAGGCUCGGCUAACUCUGUGCCAGCAGCCGCGGUAAGACAGAGGAGCCAAGCGUUGUCCGGAUUGACUGGGCGUAAAGCGCACGCAGGCGGUCGCGCGCGUGGGGUGUGAAAUCUGGCCGCUUAACGGCCAGGCGCCAUCCCAUACGGCGCGGCUGGAGGGCUGCAGAGGGCGAUGGAAUUGCCGGUGUAGUGGUGAAAUGCGUAGAGAUCGGCAGGAACACCCAGGGGGAAACCAGUCGCCUGGGCAGCACCUGACGCUGAGGUGCGAAAGCGUGGGGAGCGAACCGGAUUAGAUACCCGGGUAGUCC
RNAcentral lists this ribosomal RNA (424 nucleotides) under uncultured bacterium. Its description in RNAcentral is "bacterial SSU rRNA". It matches the Rfam family "Bacterial small subunit ribosomal RNA", at positions 355 to 796 of the family's 1533-position model. The record is from RNAcentral.